UAUUAAUUAGGUUUAUUUUGAAAUAUAUUGCAGACUUCAAUGAGUUAAAUCUCUCCUUUAAAUCUGAUCAGGGAAGAGAUUAUGGCUGAAUCAUCUCUUCAGGAAGCAACUUCACUUGCUUUGCUACUGACCAACAUUAUUCUCCCUCAAGAUCUGGUUAACAUAGAAUGAAAGAACUUUAGUUUAGGAGAUUCCCUUUCCUCAAUGUUCUUUUUAGCUGAAAAGUCAGCAAUUUCAUUGCCAAUAAUUAUAUGUGUUCUAACCUAUCAAAUGUUUGUUAUGACACAAUACUGUAUGAUAGUAAACUUAAAAGUUCACAAAGCUAGAGGAAUCAGACCUAAAGCAGACUCUACCAGCAUUUCAAACCAUUUUCUAUGGACCUGUAGGAAUGUGAAUUGCAUUGACCAAUUACAAAAAUUACAAUCCUUGACAAAAAUAUAAUUUGAAAUAAAAAAAUCCAAAAGUUCCAACUAUUCUGAUUAUUUAAAUGUUUAUAAAUAUCAAUAUUCUUAGGCAAAGAUCAGAAAAUCAGGGAAACAUGAUUAGUCUAAUCUCACAGGAAAUUUUUGGGUUUAAA
RNAcentral lists this long non-coding RNA (577 nucleotides) under Androctonus crassicauda. The record is from RNAcentral. Lineage: Eukaryota; Metazoa; Arthropoda; Arachnida; Scorpiones; Buthidae.